GGGUUGUGAGGUUAAGCGAACAAGCGUACACGGUGGAUGCCCUGGCAGUCAGAGGCGAUGAAGGACGUGCUAAUCUGCGAAAAGCGCCGGCGAGGUGAUAUGAACCUUUGACCCGGCGAUGUCCGAAUGGGGAAACCCGGUGCACCACGGUGCAUCAUCGUUAACUGAAUACAUAGGUUAACGAGGCGAACCGGGGGAACUGAAACAUCUAAGUACCCCGAGGAAAAGAAAUCAACCGAGAUUCCCCCAGUAGCGGCGAGCGAACGGGGAGGAGCCCAGAGCCUGAAUCAGCUUGUGUGUUAGUGGAAGCGUCUGGAAAGUCGCACGGUACAGGGUGAAAGUCCCGUACACGAAAACGCACAGGCUGUGAGCUCGAUGAGUAGGGCGGGACACGUGGUAUCCUGUCUGAAUAUGGGGGGACCAUCCUCCAAGGCUAAAUACUCCUGACUGACCGAUAGUGAACCAGUACCGUGAGGGAAAGGCGAAAAGAACCCCGGCGAGGGGAGUGAAAAAGAACCUGAAACCGUGUACGUACAAGCAGUGGGAGCCUCUUUAUGGGGUGACUGCGUACCUUUUGUAUAAUGGGUCAGCGACUUAUAUUCUGUAGCAAGGUUAACCGAAUAGGGGAGCCGGAGGGAAACCGAGUCUUAAUUGGGCGUUAAGUUGCAGGGUAUAGACCCGAAACCCGGUGAUCUAGCCAUGGGCAGGUUGAAGGUUGGGUAACACUAACUGGAGGACCGAACCGACUAAUGUUGAAAAAUUAGCGGAUGACCUGUGGCUGGGGGUGAAAGGCCAAUCAAACCGGGAGAUAGCUGGUUCUCCCCGAAAGCUAUUUAGGUAGCGCCUCGUGAAUUCAUCUCCGGGGGUAGAGCACUGUUUCGGCUAGGGGGCCAUCCCGGCUUACCAACCCGAUGCAAACUGCGAAUACCGGAGAAUGUUAUCACGGGAGACACACGGCGGGUGCUAACGUCCGUCGUGAAGAGGGAAACAACCCAGACCGCCAGCUAAGGUCCCAAAGUCAUGGUUAAGUGGGAAACGAUGUGGGAAGGCUCAGACAGCCAGGAUGUUGGCUUAGAAGCAGCCAUCAUUUAAAGAAAGCGUAAUAGCUCACUGGUCGAGUCGGCCUGCGCGGAAGAUGUAACGGGGCUAAACCAUGCACCGAAGCUGCGGCAGCGAACGUAUCACUUAAAGCGAUUCAGCGUCUUACGAUUGACGGAGCGAAGCGACGUCAAAGCGUAUACAAAGUCGAGUCGGUUUAAGGAUACGUUCGUUGGGUAGGGGAGCGUUCUGUAAGCCGUUGAAGGUGUGCCGUGAGGCAUGCUGGAGGUAUCAGAAGUGCGAAUGCUGACAUAAGUAACGAUAAAGCGGAUGAAAAGCCCGCUCGCCGGAAGACCAAGGGUUCCUGUCCAACGUUAAUCGGGGCAGGGUGAGUCGACCCCUAAGGCGAGGCCGAAAGGCGUAGUCGAUGGGAAACAGGUUAAUAUUCCUGUACUUGGUGUUACUGCGAAGGGGGGACGGAGAAGGCUAUGUCGGCCGGGCGACGGUUGUCCCGGUUUAAGCGUGCAGGUGUGUGUUCCAGGUAAAUCCGGUUCACUUUAACACUGAGGCGUGAUGACGAGGCACUACGGUGCUGAAGUGACAAAUGCCCUGCUUCCAGGAAAAGCCUCUAAGCAUCAGGUAACAUCAAAUCGUACCCCAAACCGACACAGGUGGUCAGGUAGAGAAUACCAAGGCGCUUGAGAGAACUCGGGUGAAGGAACUAGGCAAAAUGGUGCCGUAACUUCGGGAGAAGGCACGCUGGCGCGUAGGUGAAGUGACUUGCUCACGGAGCUGAAACCAGUCGAAGAUACCAGCUGGCUGCAACUGUUUAUUAAAAACACAGCACUGUGCAAACACGAAAGUGGACGUAUACGGUGUGACGCCUGCCCGGUGCCGGAAGGUUAAUUGAUGGGGUUAUCCUCGCGGAGAAGCUCUUGAUCGAAGCCCCGGUAAACGGCGGCCGUAACUAUAACGGUCCUAAGGUAGCGAAAUUCCUUGUCGGGUAAGUUCCGACCUGCACGAAUGGCGUAAUGAUGGCCAGGCUGUCUCCACCCGAGACUCAGUGAAAUUGAACUCGCUGUGAAGAUGCAGUGUACCCGCGGCAAGACGGAAAGACCCCGUGAACCUUUACUAUAGCUUGACACUGAACACUGGUCCUUGAUGUGCAGGAUAGGUGGGAGGCUUUGAAGUGCGGACGCCAGUCUGCACGGAGCCGUCCUUGAAAUACCACCCUUUAAUGGCUGGUGUUCUAACGUUGGCCCCUUAUCGGGGUUGCGGACAGUGUCUGGUGGGUAGUUUGACUGGGGCGGUCUCCUCCUAAAGAGUAACGGAGGAGCACGAAGGUUGGCUAAUCUUGGUCGGACAUCAGGAGGUUAGUGCAAUGGCAUAAGCCAGCUUGACUGCGAGCGUGACGGCGCGAGCAGGUGCGAAAGCAGGUCAUAGUGAUCCGGUGGUUCUGAAUGGAAGGGCCAUCGCUCAACGGAUAAAAGGUACUCCGGGGAUAACAGGCUGAUACCGCCCAAGAGUUCAUAUCGACGGCGGUGUUUGGCACCUCGAUGUCGGCUCAUCACAUCCUGGGGCUGAAGUAGGUCCCAAGGGUAUGGCUGUUCGCCAUUUAAAGUGGUACGCGAGCUGGGUUUAGAACGUCGUGAGACAGUUCGGUCCCUAUCUGCCGUGGGCGCUGGAGAACUGAGGGGGGCUGCUCCUAGUACGAGAGGACCGGAGUGGACGCAUCACUGGUGUUCGGGUUGUCAUGCCAAUGGCACUGCCCGGUAGCUAAAUGCGGAAGAGAUAAGUGCUGAAAGCAUCUAAGCACGAAACUUGCCCCGAGAUGAGUUCUCCCUGAGACCUUGAGUCUCCUGAAGGAACGUUGAAGACGACGACGUUGAUAGGCCGGGUGUGUAAGCGCAGCGAUGCGUUGAGCUAACCGGUACUAAUGAACCGUGAGGCUUAACCUUACAACGCCGAAG
Molecule: ribosomal RNA, 3008 nt
Filed under: Citrobacter rodentium
Lineage: Bacteria; Pseudomonadati; Pseudomonadota; Gammaproteobacteria; Enterobacterales; Enterobacteriaceae
Description: 23S ribosomal RNA
Rfam family: Bacterial large subunit ribosomal RNA
Source: RNAcentral